GAUGAACGCUGGCGGCGUGCCUAAUACAUGCAAGUCGAGCGAACGGACGAGAAGCUUGCUUCUCUGAUGUUAGCGGCGGACGGGUGAGUAACACGUGGAUAACCUACCUAUAAGACUGGGAUAACGUCGGGAAACCGGAGCUAAUACCGGAUAAUAUUUUGAACCGCAUGGUUCAAAAGUGAAAGACGGUCUUGCUGUCACUUAUAGAUGGAUCCGCGCUGCAUUAGCUAGUUGGUAAGGUAACGGCUUACCAAGGCAACGAUGCAUAGCCGACCUGAGAGGGUGAUCGGCCACACUGGAACUGAGACACGGUCCAGACUCCUACGGGAGGCAGCAGUAGGGAAUCUUCCGCAAUGGGCGAAAGCCUGACGGAGCAACGCCGCGUGAGUGAUGAAGGUCUUCGGAUCGUAAAACUCUGUUAUUAGGGAAGAACAUAUGUGUAAGUAACUGUGCACAUCUUGACGGUACCUAAUCAGAAAGCCACGGCUAACUACGUA
Molecule: ribosomal RNA, 497 nt
Filed under: uncultured bacterium
Lineage: Bacteria
Description: partial 16S ribosomal RNA
Rfam family: Bacterial small subunit ribosomal RNA
Source: RNAcentral